This 450-nucleotide ribosomal RNA is filed under the name uncultured bacterium. RNAcentral describes it as "partial 16S ribosomal RNA". It matches the Rfam family "Bacterial small subunit ribosomal RNA", at positions 354 to 796 of the family's 1533-position model. The record is from RNAcentral.
GUGGGGAAUAUUCCGCAAUGGACGAAAGUCUGACGGAGCAACGCCGCGUGAGUGAUGAAGGUUUUCGGACUGUAAAGCUCUGUUGUUUAGGACGAAAGUGCCUGUUGCAAAUAGUUACAGGUAUUGACGGUACUGAACGAGGAAGCCACGGCUAACUACGUGCCAGCAGCCGCGGUAAUACGUAGGUGGCAAGCGUUGUCCGGAAUUAUUGGGCGUAAAGAGCAUGUAGGCGGGAAUCUAAGUCUGUUGUGAAAAUGCGGGGCUCAACCCCGUAUGGCGAUGGAAACUGGGUUUCUUGAGUGCAGGAGAGGAAAGGGGAAUUCCCAGUGUAGCGGUGAAAUGCGUAGAUAUUGGGAGGAACACCAGUGGCGAAGGCGCCUUUCUGGACUGUGUCUGACGCUGAGAUGCGAAAGCCAGGGUAGCGAACGGGAUUAGAUACCCUUGUAGUCC